GGCGGCAGCCAGCGCAGCCGCAGCGCCAGCGGGGAGCGGCUCAGGCUGUACUGCAGGUCUCGCGGCGCGGACGGCGGCCCUGCGACAUGGGGAGGCGCUGAGUGGAACCGGGCAGGGACCCAAGAGCGCGAGGCAUGGGGGGGGGGGUGCGGGGCUUGGACACCCGGCGUAGGAGCAGUAAGGAAGGUGGCAGACGUGGGGAGCAGCGCGGGUACGGAGAUCGAGGGGACCGGGAUGGGGACAUGGUCACAGGGAACAGAGGGCAUAACAGAGGGGAGGGACGUCCCAACCAGGCUCAGGAAGAGAUGAGAUGACUCCACAUCUGACAGAGCACACAGAGGUCGUGAGUUGGUAACUCCCCCAACAGCUGGUUAUGGAAACCACAACACCUCCAUCUGGCUGAUAUCUCCUCUCCUGCAGUCUUAGAGAUCGCUCCCUGCACACAUUUGGUGUGACACCGGCUCUCUCCCCCAGCACAUAAACAAGUGUCGCUGCUCUACAAUAAAAGCUCUCUUUCUGUUC
This 522-nucleotide long non-coding RNA is filed under the name Mus caroli (Ryukyu mouse). Its description in RNAcentral is "RIKEN cDNA 1700125G02 gene (MGP_CAROLIEiJ_G0003559.1)". The record is from RNAcentral. Lineage: Eukaryota; Metazoa; Chordata; Mammalia; Rodentia; Muridae.